UCUGGUGAUGAUGGCAGAGAGGUCACACCCGUUCCCAUACCGAACACGGAAGUUAAGCUCUCUAGCGCCGAUGGUAGUUGGGACCUUGUCCCUGUGAGAGUAGGACGUCGCCAGGC
RNAcentral lists this ribosomal RNA (116 nucleotides) under Bacillus cereus. RNAcentral also lists the same sequence under 3 other names. Lineage: Bacteria; Bacillati; Bacillota; Bacilli; Caryophanales; Bacillaceae. The record is from RNAcentral.